GUCCCCUGGUGAAAGCUUGCAUUGGUUGCUCAGGCACUGGGAAGCUGUUUUUGUUUGGAGUGUGCUUGUGUGCAGCCUGUAGGAGGAUAGCUGAAAACCUGGUCUCCACCUGCUAAUCUGGUGGGCAGAUGCCAUGGUGGAGAGAAACCUGGUAUGCAGAAGAUGAAGACAUAGCACAAUGUAAGUCAUGUCCUAUAGAUCUACAUCACCUGUAAGGCAUGAGAUCCCAGCAUGUGCUUCUGAACUCACAUGGGAUUCUGAAGGUGCAGCAAACAUGGAUGGGAUCUCUAGAGGAGUGGGCACCCAAAAUAUAUGCUUCCUGACCAUGCAGGCGAGAGUGGAAAAUUGUUAGUAUUUAGAUUUAUGUAUAUGGUAAUAUGAUUUAAACAUGCUUUGUUCACAUAUUUCUAUCUAAUGAAGUUAUCUUCCUGUCCUAAUGAGGUGGGUAACAAUAUGUCUCACUGUCACUGUUUUGGAGAUUUUGCUGAACUUGGUGAACUUGCUGUACUCUGGCCUGGACAGAAAAGAAAAGAGAAACUUAAACUUCUUGGUUUCCUUGUUCUGCCUUCCUAUUGUGAUGGGAAAAGACAACAUAGAGUAGAAAUUAACAAAAGAAUCUCUGGAGUGAGGCAUUCUGAAAUUUUAUUGAAGCUCUAAAACUUAACAGCUAUGGAAAUGGGUA
This 682-nucleotide small RNA is filed under the name Pongo abelii (Sumatran orangutan). RNAcentral describes it as "processed transcript". Lineage: Eukaryota; Metazoa; Chordata; Mammalia; Primates; Hominidae. The record is from RNAcentral.